Molecule: ribosomal RNA, 500 nt
Filed under: uncultured bacterium
Lineage: Bacteria
Description: partial 16S ribosomal RNA
Rfam family: Bacterial small subunit ribosomal RNA
Source: RNAcentral
AUUGAACGCUGGCGGCAGGCCUAACACAUGCAAGUCGAGCGGAUGAAGAGAGCUUGCUCUCUGAUUCAGCGGCGGACGGGUGAGUAAUGCCUAGGAAUCUGCCUGGUAGUGGGGGACAACGUCUCGAAAGGGACGCUAAUACCGCAUACGUCCUACGGGAGAAAGCAGGGGACCUUCGGGCCUUGCGCUAUCAGAUGAGCCUAGGUCGGAUUAGCUAGUUGGUGAGGUAAUGGCUCACCAAGGCGACGAUCCGUAACUGGUCUGAGAGGAUGAUCAGUCACACUGGAACUGAGACACGGUCCAGACUCCUACGGGAGGCAGCAGUGGGGAAUAUUGGACAAUGGGCGAAAGCCUGAUCCAGCCAUGCCGCGUGUGUGAAGAAGGUCUUCGGAUUGUAAAGCACUUUAAGUUGGGAGGAAGGGCAGUAAAUUAAUACUUUGCUGUUUUGACGUUACCGACAGAAUAAGCACCGGCUAACUCUGUGCCAGCAGCCGCCGUAA